UGCCUCUGACCCUGAAUACCUCGUAUGCA
This 29-nucleotide non-coding RNA is filed under the name Rattus norvegicus (Norway rat). Lineage: Eukaryota; Metazoa; Chordata; Mammalia; Rodentia; Muridae. The record is from RNAcentral.